Molecule: ribosomal RNA, 442 nt
Filed under: uncultured bacterium
Lineage: Bacteria
Description: partial 16S ribosomal RNA
Rfam family: Bacterial small subunit ribosomal RNA
Source: RNAcentral
CCUACGGGUGGCAGCAGUGGGGAAUAUUGGGCAAUGGGAGCAAGCCUGACCCAGCAACGCCGCGUGAGGGAAGAAGGCUCUCGGGUUGUUAAAUCCCUUUAAGAGGGAAGAGCAGAAGACGGUACCUCCUGAAUAAGGUCUGGCCAACUACGUGACAGCAGCCGCGGUAAUACGGAGGGAGCGAGUGUUGUCCGGAUUUACUGGGUGUAACGGGUGUGCAGGCGGUAGGACAAGUCAGGUGUGAACGCCCGCGGCUCAACCGCGGAACUGCAUUUGAAACUGUAGGUCUGGAGUACUGGAGAGGCAGGCGGAAUUCCUAGUGUAGCGGUGAAAUGCGUAGAUAUUAGGAGGAACACCAGUGGCGAAGGCGGUCUGCUGGACGGCGACUGACGGUGAGGCGCGAAAGCGUGGGGAGCAAACAGGAUUAGAUACCCGUGUAGUC